GGACCUAGAAUCAGGUGCCGAGCAGCUCCGAUACAAAUCGUGCGCCUCACCUCCGCACGGACUCGCUUGUGUGGGCCAACGCUUCCUCGCCUCCUCGCAGCUUCGCGAACAACCUUCCGCCUCGUCCGGUUCCAUCCUUUACUGGUCCUGGUCCAAGGUUGCAUAUCCACUGUUUGUUUAUUUGCCUCAAUUUUAAAAAUAUAUAUUUACUUUUUUUUUGGUUUAAAUAAAACAAAUUUUGGUUUAUAUAGCCUCAGGUAGAAGUGAAGAGCUUACCAGCUGAGCCGAUUAAGCCGAUUGCUGCUAAUAGCCACGGCACCUAUAUUGCUGGUGGGGGUCAAUCGGGAGAUAUCUACAUGUGGGAGGUAAAGUCGAGCUUGAGCUUUAG
This 388-nucleotide long non-coding RNA is filed under the name Citrus sinensis (sweet orange). Its description in RNAcentral is "long non-coding RNA (CSIN_LNC001516)". The record is from RNAcentral. Lineage: Eukaryota; Viridiplantae; Streptophyta; Magnoliopsida; Sapindales; Rutaceae.